AACGUAGGUUCCGAGCGUUAUCCGGAUUUACUGGGCGUAAAGCGCGUUCAGGCGGUUUGGCAAGUCGGGCAUGAAAUCUCUCGGCUCAACCGGGAGAGGUUGUCCGAUACUUCCAGACUUGAGGGCAGUAGAGGGUGGUGGAAUUCCGGGUGUAGUGGUGAAAUGCGUAGAUAUCCGGAGGAACACCAGUGGCGAAAGCGGCCACCUGGACUGCACCUGACGCUGAGACACGAAGGCCAGGGGAGCAAACGGG
This 253-nucleotide ribosomal RNA is filed under the name uncultured bacterium. RNAcentral describes it as "partial 16S ribosomal RNA". It matches the Rfam family "Bacterial small subunit ribosomal RNA", at positions 524 to 776 of the family's 1533-position model. The record is from RNAcentral.